RNAcentral lists this ribosomal RNA (443 nucleotides) under uncultured bacterium. Its description in RNAcentral is "partial 16S ribosomal RNA". It matches the Rfam family "Bacterial small subunit ribosomal RNA", at positions 338 to 795 of the family's 1533-position model. The record is from RNAcentral.
CCUACGGGUGAGCAGCAGUGGGGAAUAUUGGGCAAUGGGCGCAAGCCUGCCCCAGCAAUGCCGCGUGAAGGAAGAAGGCUUUCGGGUUGUCAACUUCUUUGACAGGGGCAGAGCAGAAGACGGUACCCUGAAAACAAGCCACGGCUAACUACGUGCCAGCAGCCGCGGUAAUACGUAGGUGGCAAGCGUUGUCCGGAUUUACUGGGUGUAAAGGGCGUGUAGCCGGGAAGGCAAGUCAGAUGUGAAAUCCGGAGGCGCAACCUCCGAAUUGCAUUUGAAACUGUUUUUCUUGAGUACUGGGGAGGCAGACGGAAUUCCUUGUGUAGCGGUGAAAUGCGUAGAUAGAAGGAGGAACACCAGUGGCGAAGGCGGUCUGCUGGACAGCAACUGACGGUGAGGCGCGAAAGCGUGGGGAGCAAACAGGAGGAGAUACCCGGGUAGGC